This 492-nucleotide ribosomal RNA is filed under the name uncultured bacterium. RNAcentral describes it as "partial 16S ribosomal RNA". It matches the Rfam family "Bacterial small subunit ribosomal RNA", at positions 29 to 507 of the family's 1533-position model. The record is from RNAcentral.
AGUGAACGCUGGCGGUAGGCCUAACACAUGCAAGUCGAACGGCAGCACAGUAAGAUCUUGCUCUUACGGGUGGCGAGUGGCGGACGGGUGAGGAAUACAUCGGAAUCUACUUUUUCGGGGGGGAUAACGUAGGGAAACUUACGCUAAUACCGCAUACGACCUACGGGUGAAAGCAGUGGAUCUUCGGACCUUGCGCGAUUGUAUGAGCCGAUGUCGGAUUAGCUAGUUGGCGGGGUAAAGGCCCACCAAGGCGACGAUCCGUAGCUGGUCUGAGAGGAUGAUCAGCCACACUGGAACUGAGACACGGUCCAGACUCCUACGGGAGGCAGCAGUAGGGAAUAUUGGACAAUGGGCGAAAGCCUGAUCCAGCCAUACCGCGUGGGUGAAGAAGGCCUUCGGGUUGUAAAGCCCUGUUGUUGGGAAAGAAAAGCAGCAGGUUAAUACCCGGCUGUUCUGACGGUACCCAAAGAAUAAGCACCGGCUAACUUCGUG